Molecule: long non-coding RNA, 1304 nt
Filed under: Hordeum vulgare
Lineage: Eukaryota; Viridiplantae; Streptophyta; Magnoliopsida; Poales; Poaceae
Description: long non-coding RNA (HVUL_LNC021341)
Source: RNAcentral
AAAAAGGUCUCUUUUAGUCCCAUGUGAAAGAAACAUGAGGGACUUUUAGGGACUAAAAGGGGUAUUUGGGACUAAAAGAAGAAGUCUGUAUGGGAGGGUCUUUUUGAGACUUUUUUGACACUUUUUCCAAUAGUGCCCCUACUUGUAGCAUGUCAUUUAAUAACUUCUAUUACAUUACUAGGGGUAAUAUGAUUUUUUUGCAUGUCAUUUAAUGACCUCUAGUUCCUAUUUAGUUCCUAUAAAGAAACGGGUAAGGACUAGGAACUUUUCAGUUUGGACUAAAAAAGGUCCUAGGACUUUUUAACGAAACAGAGCCUUACAAGAAAAAACCUAGUGGGGCAUGGGCUUGUGUGGUGUGAUAUCAUUUGUUUUUGUUAAUAUUUUUUUGUUGUUGUUGAGGGAAAUGAAAGCAGAUCCUUGUAAGCACACGUAUAUUGUGAUAUACCAUAUUCUAUGCCCAAGGGUAUCACAUCAAAUAUGUUGUAUAAUCUUAAAAUAGUGAAGUCUGACAUUGUACUCCACUCAGUGUGUUUAUUUUUAGCUUCUACUCUAAUGCUUACUUCACUUAUGAAUUAAUCCAGGCACUAUACCAUGUAGAGAUAGGGACAGACAAGGUGACUUUUUGCAUAUGAAUUUUUCAUUUACGAAAUGGGCCGGCACGGUUUGCGUCGAUCCUAGUAACUAAAGUGAAAGAGUAGCUCAUUAGCAGGGACGGAGACACCAUUCAUGCAUAGGAGGUAAGUUUGUUCAUGAAAAAUGCAAAGUUCAUGUAAAGUGGGUUUUUUUAAGAGGUAAUUACAGUAGUGCUGCAUGAACUUGACAUCGAUGUUCAUUUUGGUAUAUGAACUUGAAAAAUACGCUUAAUUGGUGCUAAAACUUGGUUCUUUGGUUCAAGUACGAUUUAAAUCGCAUUUUCGUACGUCCGCACUGUUGACUAGGAUGCCAGCGUGUCCGUCGGACCCAACAUUAGUGACUGCGAGCGUGCACAAGGCGUGUGGCCACGCUUGUGGCUCGAUAUUUCCGAAAACCCCAUUCGUUUCGAAAACCCCCUUCGUUUUUUUAUUUGUCGCACAGAAACACCUGAGCUAGUGGGACACAACAGCCCUAAAUUUUUUGCAUAUACGCCCAACCCAUAUCCUAACAUACCGCAGAUCAACUUGACCGUGCAUGUUCCUCGAGCUCUUCUCCACGUAUUGAUCGUUCGUGGCCGCCGGCUGGGUGUAUCGUUUGUGGAGCCGCGGUUUCAGAAAAUCCAAAUACACAUGAAAGAGAUAAUGUCAAAAUAUAUGCGUACAUAAUUUCUG